AGGACGAACGCUGGCGGCGUGCUUAACACAUGCAAGUCAAGCGGAAAGGCCCUUCGGGGUACUCGAGCGGCGAACGGGUGAGUAACACGUGGGCAACCUGCCCCUAGCUCUGGGAUAACUCCGGGAAACCGGGGCUAAUACCGGAUACGAUCUUCCAUGGCAUCUCGGAAGAUGGAAAGUUUUUCGGCUAGGGAUGGGCCCGCGGCCUAUCAGCUUGUUGGUGAGGUAACGGCCCACCAAGGCGACGACGGGUAGCCGGCCUGAGAGGGCGACCGGCCACGACUGGGACUGAGACACGGCCCAGACUCCUACGGGAGGCAGCAGUGGGGAAUAUGCGCAAUGGGCGAAAGCCUGACGCAGCGACGCCGCGUGAGGGAUGGAAGGCCGUUCGGGUUGUAAACCGUCUUUCAGCGAGGGACGAAGCGAGAGUGACGGUACCUGCAGAAGAAGCACGCAACUCGUGCAGCAGCCGC
RNAcentral lists this ribosomal RNA (473 nucleotides) under uncultured soil bacterium. Its description in RNAcentral is "bacterial SSU rRNA". It matches the Rfam family "Bacterial small subunit ribosomal RNA", at positions 26 to 518 of the family's 1533-position model. The record is from RNAcentral.